Molecule: ribosomal RNA, 402 nt
Filed under: uncultured bacterium
Lineage: Bacteria
Description: bacterial SSU rRNA
Rfam family: Bacterial small subunit ribosomal RNA
Source: RNAcentral
UAGGGAAUAUUAGUAAUGGGCGAAAGCCUGAACUAGCAACGCCGCGUGUGCGAAGAAGGCCUUCGGGUUGUAAAGCACUUUUUGAGAGGAUGAGGAAGGACGGUACUCUCAGAAUAAGUCUCGGCUAACUACGUGCCAGCAGCCGCGGUAACACGUAGGAGGCGAACGUUAUCCGUAUUUACUGGGCGUAAAGCGCGUGUAGGUGGUUUGGUAAGUAGGGCGUGAAAGCUCCUGGCUCAACUGGGAGAGGCCGUUCUAAACUGCCGAACUAGAGGAUGGUAGAGGGAGGUGAAUUCCGGGUGUAGCGGUGGAAUGCGCAGAUAUCCGGAGGAACACCAGUGGCGAAAGCGGCCUCCUGGACCAUUCCUGACACUCAGGCGCGAAAGCUAGGGUAGCAAACGG